Molecule: ribosomal RNA, 482 nt
Filed under: uncultured organism
Description: bacterial SSU rRNA
Rfam family: Bacterial small subunit ribosomal RNA
Source: RNAcentral
UCUUCGGAUUGUAAACUCCUGUUGUUGAGGAAGAUAAUGACGGUACUCAACAAGGAAGUGACGGCUAACUACGUGCCAGCAGCCGCGGUAAAACGUAGGUCACAAGCGUUGUCCGGAAUUACUGGGUGUAAAGGGAGCGCAGGCGGGCGAUCAAGUUGGAAGUGAAAUCCAUGGGCUCAACCCAUGAACUGCUUUCAAAACUGAUUGUCUUGAGUAGUGCAGAGGUAGGCGGAAUUCCCGGUGUAGCGGUGGAAUGCGUAGAUAUCGGGAGGAACACCAGUGGCGAAGGCGGCCUACUGGGCACCAACUGACGCUGAGGCUCGAAAGUGUGGGUAGCAAACAGGAUUAGAUACCCUGGUAGUCCACGCUGUAAACGAUGAACACUAGGUGUAGGGGAGCAAUCCUCUGUGCCGCAGUUAACACAAUAAGUGUUCCACCUGGGGAGUACGGCCGCAAGGUUGCAACUCAAAUGAAUUGACGGA